RNA transcript from Stegodyphus dumicola, 941 nucleotides. It is a transcript of the gene named Threonyl-carbamoyl synthesis 6, with no coding region annotated. The record is from RefSeq and is a predicted model, not a curated record. NCBI's taxonomy places the organism in Eukaryota, Metazoa, Arthropoda, Arachnida, Araneae, Eresidae.
CAACAUAGGUAGAUAGGUAUAUUCUGCCUACUAGCUGGCAAAAAGGCCUUAAAGUAGCUGCAAAAUAACAUCCUUUGUCCUGCGAAAUGAAUAUAAACAAUUGUGAUGAACUUGGGUUUGUAAUCCAUAUGGAAGUUCCUUUCCAAACAUUUAAAGAAGCUACUGUGGCGUACAAUAGUUUACGGAUUGAUGCUGAGCCAUUACGUGGUGGUGUCAUCAAAGAAUUGAAUGUGAGAGAUAAUUACUUGGUUGUAAGAAUUUCAUCAAAAGAUCCGAGAAAAUUGAGAUCUGCAGUUAGUUCAUUUCUUGAUUUUCUUAUUUUAGUUACGAAUACAAUUGCAAAAUUUGGGAUUAUUACACUCUCAUGAGUAGCAUGACAAUAUUGGUUAAGCACCAGGGGCAGUAUACAAUGUAAACCCACAUGAAAGGGUGCAAAGCCAGCCAUCUGAUAAGAGGAAGGACUGAAACUUGACAUCACAAUUUCAUAAAAGAUUGCUGUGCUUCUGUUCCUCAAAAUACGUGAAUCCAGUGAAAUUUCUUUUAACAUGACCAUUCAUGGUUCCAGACAGUUUUGAUCAUUUGUAGAGGUGGUUCCUAGGAGAGGAGAUUGGUCGGAUCAUUUGAAGUGUUUGUCUAUGGGAAGUGGUUCCACAAUUUCACUACAAUAUUGUACAUUAAAAAUGUAGAAAUGUAUAUUGCUCUUAAAAAUUGUUAACCUAUUUAAUUUCAAGACAAUUUAUUUCCUGUAGUGCUAAAAAAUUUUACAUUUAAUAAUUAUUUCUUGAAGUAAUAAAAUUUGAUUAUUCACUGGAAAAUUUUUAAAGCCUGUGCAAUUUGAUUCGAGUUGAAUUAUAUUUAUAUGCCUUUGUGAAAUUGGAACAGGAAAUUCUGUGAUGUAUAUAUUAGCACUAAGCAAUAAAUAAAAAAAUGUUUCCAGUAUA